This 465-nucleotide ribosomal RNA is filed under the name Vreelandella stevensii. Its description in RNAcentral is "partial 16S ribosomal RNA". It matches the Rfam family "Bacterial small subunit ribosomal RNA", at positions 338 to 795 of the family's 1533-position model. The record is from RNAcentral. Lineage: Bacteria; Pseudomonadati; Pseudomonadota; Gammaproteobacteria; Oceanospirillales; Halomonadaceae.
CCUACGGGUGGCUGCAGUGGGGAAUAUUGGACAAUGGGGGGAACCCUGAUCCAGCCAUGCCGCGUGUGUGAAGAAGGCCCUCGGGUUGUAAAGCACUUUCAGUGAGGAAGAACGCCUGGUGGUUAAUACCCAUCAGGAAAGACAUCACUCACAGAAGAAGCACCGGCUAACUCCGUGCCAGCAGCCGCGGUAAUACGGAGGGUGCGAGCGUUAAUCGGAAUUACUGGGCGUAAAGCGCGCGUAGGUGGCUUGAUAAGCCGGUUGUGAAAGCCCCGGGCUUAACCUGGGAACGGCAUCCGGAACUGUCAAGCUAGAGUGCAGGAGAGGAAGGUAGAAUUCCCGGUGUAGCGGUGAAAUGCGUAGAGAUCGGGAGGAAUACCAGUGGCGAAGGCGGCCUUCUGGACUGACACUGACACUGAGGUGCGAAAGCGUGGGUAGCAAACAGGAUUAGAUACCCGUGUAGUC